RNAcentral lists this ribosomal RNA (301 nucleotides) under uncultured bacterium. Its description in RNAcentral is "partial 16S ribosomal RNA". It matches the Rfam family "Bacterial small subunit ribosomal RNA", at positions 509 to 807 of the family's 1533-position model. The record is from RNAcentral.
CAGUCGCCGCGGUAAUACGAAGGGUGCAAGCGUUAAUCGGAAUUACUGGGCGUAAAGCGUGCGUAGGCGGUGAGUUAAGUCUGCUGUGAAAUCCCCGGGCUCAACCUGGGAAUGGCAGUGGAUACUGGCUCGCUAGAGUGUGUCAGAGGAUGGUGGAAUUCCCGGUGUAGCGGUGAAAUGCGUAGAGAUCGGGAGGAACAUCAGUGGCGAAGGCGGCCAUCUGGGACAACACUGACGCUGAGGCACAAAAGCGUGGGGAGCAAACAGGAUUAGAUACCCCUGUAGUCCCUGUCUCUUAUAC